AUCCAGCUGACGAGUCCAAAACAGGACGAAACACGCGUCAAACUGGAU
RNAcentral lists this non-coding RNA (48 nucleotides) under Schistosoma margrebowiei. Lineage: Eukaryota; Metazoa; Platyhelminthes; Trematoda; Strigeidida; Schistosomatidae. The record is from RNAcentral.